AAAUGAAUUGACGGGGACCCGCACAAGCAGUGGAUUAUGUGGUUUAAUUCGACGCAACGCGAAGAACCUUACCAGGUCUUGACAUCCGACUAACGAAUCAGAGAUGAAUUAGGUGCCCUUCGGGGAAAGUUGAGACAGGUGGUGCAUGGUUGUCGUCAGCUCGUGUCGUGAGAUGUUGGGUUAAGUCCCGCAACGAGCGCAACCCCUGCCAUUAGUUGCUACGCAAGAGCACUCUAAUGGGACCGCUACCGACAAGGUGGAGGAAGGUGGGGACGACGUCAAAUCAUCAUGCCCCUUAUGACCUGGGCUACACACGUAAUACAAUGGUCGUUAACAACGGGAAGCGAAGCCGCGAGGCGGAGCAAAACCCCAAAAACGGUCUCAGUUCGGAUUGCAGGCUGCAACUCGCCUGCAUGAAGUAGGAAUUGCUAGUAAUCGCAGAUCAGCAAGCUGCGGUGAAUACGUUCCCGGGUCUUGCACACACCGCCCGU
RNAcentral lists this ribosomal RNA (491 nucleotides) under uncultured bacterium. Its description in RNAcentral is "bacterial SSU rRNA". It matches the Rfam family "Bacterial small subunit ribosomal RNA", at positions 903 to 1397 of the family's 1533-position model. The record is from RNAcentral.